Non-coding RNA from Pelodiscus sinensis (Chinese soft-shelled turtle), 206 nucleotides. Lineage: Eukaryota; Metazoa; Chordata; Testudines; Trionychidae. The record is from RefSeq and is a predicted model, not a curated record.
CAGCCUUGUCCGCAUGGAGCGCAGGGAGGCAGCUGGCGCCGGGCGGGGACCCCCUGCGUCCCAGGAACGGCAGCAGUGCAGGACUGCGGAAAGGAGAUCCCACUGCACCAGCAAGGGAGGAGCCUGGAACUUCAGUUUCUAUCUCUUCAUCUACUUCAACAUCCUCAUCCUGGGAAAGACGAUUUCGUAGUAUGAAAUGUGAACCA